Molecule: ribosomal RNA, 221 nt
Filed under: uncultured bacterium
Lineage: Bacteria
Description: partial 16S ribosomal RNA
Rfam family: Bacterial small subunit ribosomal RNA
Source: RNAcentral
CCCUUCAGAGGGGGACAACAGUUGGAAACGACUGCUAAUACCGCAUACGAUCUAACCUCGGCAUCGAGGAAAGAUGAAAGGUGGCCUCUAUGUAUAAGCUAUCACUGAAGGAGGGGAUUGCGUCUGAUUAGCUAGUUGGAGGGGUAACGGCCCACCAAGGCGAUGAUCAGUAGCCGGUCUGAGAGGAUGAACGGCCACAUUGGGACUGAGACACGGCCCAG